Molecule: ribosomal RNA, 449 nt
Filed under: uncultured bacterium
Lineage: Bacteria
Description: partial 16S ribosomal RNA
Rfam family: Bacterial small subunit ribosomal RNA
Source: RNAcentral
UCUCCAGACUCCUACGGGAGGCAGCAGUGGGGAAUAUUGCACAAUGGGGGGAACCCUGAUGCAGCGACGCCGCGUGAGGGAAGAAGGUUUUUGGAUUGUAAACCUCUGUCCUUGGUAAAGAAGCAAGACGGUAGCCAAGGAGGAAGCCACGGCUAACUACGUGCCAGCAGCCGCGGUAAUACGUAGGGGGCAAGCGUUAUCCGGAUUUACUGGGUGUAAAGGGAGCGUAGACGGCCAGACAAGUCUGAAGUGAAAAUCCAGCGCUUAACGUUGGAAGUGCUUUGGAAACUGCCGGGCUGGAGUGCAGGAGGGGCAGGCGGAAUUCCUAGUGUAGCGGUGAAAUGCGUAGAUAUUAGGAGGAACACCAGUGGCGAAGGCGGCCUGCUGGACUGCAACUGACGUUGAGGCUCGAAGGCGUGGGGAGCAAACAGGAUUAGAUACCCCGGUAC